GGGAGGAGCCCUGUCUCUCCCCACCCCACUCCCCGACUCCCACACACACCCCUGCACACUCGGAGGCAAGGCCACCUGAGACUAAGUGGUUGUCUUCAAGCUAGGAAAACAAUCCUCAGAAGAAACAGCACACUGCCAGGCCUUGAUCUGGGACUUCAAGCCUCCAGAACUGUUCACCUCAUUCUUUCUGUUUUCCCACACCAUUUGGCUAAGAAGACGCUGGGUCGCUGAGCCUACAGCUCCCACGGUCUGCUGACUACAGAGCCGGCCCCUGAAUCUCCUGUUCCCGUGGUUAGAUCUAGGGGCUUGAUGGGAAACAUAUGUAAAUACCACUUCUUCCUGGAUUCCUCCCACAUCUGGGGAGGCCUCCCUCCUUGGUGUUCCUCUCCCCUCCACAGCAGGGCCCAGUUUCUUCCUCUGCCUCCCACCAGACUGUUUCCAGGCUCCCGACAGGCAGGGCCCUGUCCCCAGCAAAGCCCAGUGUCCUGUACGCAGUGGGGCCUCAGGAGGCAUGCAGGAAGGACAAAUGUCACACCCUGAGCCCAGAGGCUUAUCUCACCCUUCAGCUGCCAGAGCCUUGGGCUUCCGAGCAGGGGCUGAACAUCUGAACCUGCCCUUCACACCGGGGUGGGGGGAGGGGGCGCAGAGUGGGCCGGGGCACCGGCAGGAGGCCACAAUAAAUUGGCCCAACUCCAAACAGGGCCCAGGCACCAUCCGAGCUGCCGAAGAAGAAUCCAAGACACCUGCACACCCCUGCUUCCCCCAGAUUUUCCAGGGCCCUGCUUCUCUGAUC
This is a long non-coding RNA of Bos taurus (domestic cattle), 793 nucleotides long. The record is from Ensembl. Lineage: Eukaryota; Metazoa; Chordata; Mammalia; Artiodactyla; Bovidae.